This 439-nucleotide ribosomal RNA is filed under the name uncultured bacterium. Its description in RNAcentral is "partial 16S ribosomal RNA". It matches the Rfam family "Bacterial small subunit ribosomal RNA", at positions 339 to 795 of the family's 1533-position model. The record is from RNAcentral.
CUACGGGCUGCUGCAGUGGGGAAUAUUGCGCAAUGGAGGGAACUCUGAUGCAGCAACGCCGCGUGGAGGAUGACACAUUUCGGUGCGUAAACUCCUUUUAUAUAAGAAGAUAAUGACGGUAUUAUAUGAAUAAGCACCGGCUAACUCCGUGCCAGCAGCCGCGGUAAUACGGGGGGUGCAAGCGUUACUCGGAAUCACUGGGCGUAAAGAGCAUGUAGGCUGGUUUGUAAGUUGGAAGUGAAAUCCUAUGGCUUAACCAUAGAACUGCUUCCAAAACUACUUACCUAGAGUAUGGGAGAGGUAGAUGGAAUUUCUGGUGUAGGGGUAAAAUCCGUAGAGAUCAGAAGGAAUACCGAUUGCGAAGGCGAUCUACUGGAACAUUACUGACGCUCAGAUGCGAAAGCGUGGGGAGCAAACAGGAUUAGAUACCCCGGUAGUC